UAGGUCAAUGAUUCAUAAAUU
Molecule: non-coding RNA, 21 nt
Filed under: Caenorhabditis elegans
Lineage: Eukaryota; Metazoa; Nematoda; Chromadorea; Rhabditida; Rhabditidae
Source: RNAcentral